RNAcentral lists this ribosomal RNA (447 nucleotides) under uncultured bacterium. RNAcentral describes it as "bacterial SSU rRNA". It matches the Rfam family "Bacterial small subunit ribosomal RNA", at positions 355 to 825 of the family's 1533-position model. The record is from RNAcentral.
UGGGGAAUAUUGGACAAUGGGCGAAAGCCUGAUCCAGCAAUGCCGCGUGAGUGAUGAAGGCCUUAGGGUUGUAAAGCUCUUUUACCAGGGAUGAUAAUGACAGUACCUGGAGAAUAAGCUCCGGCUAACUCCGUGCCAGCAGCCGCGGUAAUACGGAGGGAGCUAGCGUUGUUCGGAAUUACUGGGCGUAAAGCGUACGUAGGCGGUGACUCAAGUCAGAGGUGAAAGCCUGGAGCUCAACUCCAGAACUGCCUUUGAAACUAGGUCGCUAGAAUCACGGAGAGGUGAGUGGAAUUCCGAGUGUAGAGGUGAAAUUCGUAGAUAUCAAGAGGAACACCUGAGGUGAAGACGGGUUGCUGGGCUGACACUGACGCUGAGGCGCGAAAGCCAGGGGAGCAAACGGGAUUAGAUACCCGAGUAGUCCCUGAGCGGGCUGGCAAGGCGCAU